GGUCCUCUAAGGUUUCCCCAGCGUCUUCUCCAGGCUGAAUAAUCUCAACUCAACCUGUCUUCAUAGGAGAGGUGUUCCAUCCCUCUGAUCAUCUUUGUGUCCCUCCUCUGCUCUCCCCAUGAGGAAGAGCCCUUGGCGUUCCUCCUCAUGGUGGGUGGGUGUGUGGGACCAUGAUCUCUCUGUCACCUUGGCUGUAGGCCAGGAGGAGAGGUGGCCUCCCAGCAGGACAGGGUGCCACCAGUCAGCAGCUGUGUGAGGGCAGCGGUGCGUGUGGCAUGAGGGGGACAGGCCCUGCCAGCCCUGGCCGAGGCGGGACACUGUGAGUGCCUGGGCCCAGCUGCCAGCCAGCCUCCCUGCUUUCCCAAAGCAGGCCCAGCACCAUCCAAGGUCACCCCCAGCACUUGCACACAGGCUGUCACUGGCGAGUGCAGGGGAUAUUUUUAGCAUGUUGGAGGCAGUCUCCUAGCUACAGCUUGGAGAACUCAGCUGGGCAGGGGCUGGCAGUCCUCAGCCUGCACAAAAGCAAACUCUUCUCAUAAAUCCUGCUCUUCAGGCCAAAUCCUGCUCCAGGCUUGCUGCUGGUUUGGUGGGAACAUUGCCCAGCUUCAUUAAGUGCUGCGUCUUCUGGGAAAUAACCCUGUGUUGGAGCUUCAGCUGUUCAAGGUGUUGCGAGCUCUGGACCAUCUCCAAGAAAGCUCCUAGGGAAUGGUCAGAUUUAGGAAGAAAAAGAAGAAAACCUCAGACUUCGGGUGCUUAUCUCCUUUUAGAGAUCUACAGAAAUCAAUAUUCAAGCUAAAAGAUAAAGAAAUGUAACAAAAAGAAGAAGAGGAUAAUAAAGAC
Molecule: long non-coding RNA, 840 nt
Filed under: Zonotrichia albicollis (white-throated sparrow)
Lineage: Eukaryota; Metazoa; Chordata; Aves; Passeriformes; Passerellidae
Description: lncRNA (ENSZALG00000009000.1)
Source: RNAcentral